CUGGGGAUUGAACACGGCCCAGAUUCUUACGGAGGCCACCAUUAGGGAAUCUUCCGCAAUGGACGAAAUUCUGACGGAGCAACCCCGCUUGAGUGAUGAAGGCUUUCGGGUCGUAAAACUCUGUUGUUAGGGAAGAACAAGUGCUAGUUGAAUAAGCUGGCACCUUGACGGUACCUAACCAGAAAGCCACGGCUAACUACGUGCCAGCAGCCGCGGUAAUACGUAGGUGGCAAGCGUUAUCCGGAAUUAUUGGGCGUAAAGCGCGCGCAGGUGGUUUCUUAAGUCUGAUGUGAAAGCCCACGGCUCAACCGUGGAGGGUCAUUGGAAACUGGGAGACUUGAGUGCAGAAGAGGAAAGUGGAAUUCCAUGUGUAGCGGUGAAAUGCGUAGAGAUAUGGAGGAACACCAGUGGCGAAGGCGACUUUCUGGUCUGUAACUGACACUGAGGCGCGAAAGCGUGGGGAGCAAACAGGAUUAGAUACCCUGGUAGUCCACGCCGUAAACGAUGAGUGCUAAGUGUUAGAGGGUUUCCGCCCUUUAGUGCUGAAGUUAACGCAUUAAGCACUCCGCCUGGGGAGUACGGCCGCAAGGCUGAAACUCAAAGGAAUUGACGGGGGCCCGCACAAGCGGUGGAGCAUGUGGUUUAAUUC
This 649-nucleotide ribosomal RNA is filed under the name Bacillus sp. (in: firmicutes). RNAcentral's name for it is "bacterial SSU rRNA". It matches the Rfam family "Bacterial small subunit ribosomal RNA", at positions 312 to 952 of the family's 1533-position model. The record is from RNAcentral. Lineage: Bacteria; Bacillati; Bacillota; Bacilli; Caryophanales; Bacillaceae.